AUCAGAAUCACCUCAAGCCUGGAGAACGCUCAUGAGUUUGAUCAGCAGGUCAGGUGGGGCCUGAGAACGUCAAUGUCCAGCAGGUUCCCCGGCGAUGCUGGUGACGCUGCUGCCUGAGAGCCACCCUGAGGCCUCUGUGUGUGGAGAGAGCUGAGGCAGAUGGUCCCAGUGCCGAGGAUGCGGCUGCAUUUGGAGACCAUGCUGAGCUGCUCAGCUGAGUGAACAGUGCUCUGAAGAAGCCGUCACAGCUCGGCAGCCUCAGCAGAGGGUGGGAAGAGAUAACUCUGGAUGCUCACUCAGCACAUCGUGUGGUGGGACUAACUCAGCUGUGAGCACUGAAGUUCACAGCAGCCCCAGGGAGGACUCAGUUCACACUCGGCAGCAGCAGAAGGCAGAAUCCCCACAAGACGUGAAAGAACCG
This 421-nucleotide long non-coding RNA is filed under the name Equus caballus (horse). Its description in RNAcentral is "lncRNA (ENSECAG00000033614.2)". Lineage: Eukaryota; Metazoa; Chordata; Mammalia; Perissodactyla; Equidae. The record is from RNAcentral.